Long non-coding RNA from Oncorhynchus tshawytscha (Chinook salmon), 896 nucleotides. The record is from Ensembl. NCBI's taxonomy places the organism in Eukaryota, Metazoa, Chordata, Actinopteri, Salmoniformes, Salmonidae.
UCUUUAUUUAGACAGGGAGUCAACGCUGAGACCAAGGUCUCUUUAUUUAGACAGGGAGUCAAUGCUGAGACCAAGGUGUCUUUAUUCAGACAGGGAGUCAAUGCUGAGACCAAGGUGUCUUUAUUUAGACAGGGAGUCAAUGCUGAGACCAAGGUGUCUUUAUUUAGACAGGGAGUCAAUGCUGAGACCAAGGUGUCUUUAUUUAGACCGGGAGUCAAUGCUGAGACCAAGGUCUAUUUAGACAGGGAGUCAAUGCUGAGACCAAGGUCUCUUUAUUUAGACAGGGAGUCAAUGCUGAGACCAAGGUGCCUUUAUUUAGACAGGGAGUCAAUGCUGAGACCAAGGUGUCUUUAUUCAGACAGGGAGUCAAUGCUGACAUGUAGAAGUGGUUGUAGAGCGUGCAGACAGGGUUUUAGACCAUGUAAAUGUGGUUGUAGCACGAGUAGAUGUGGUGGUAGUAUGUGUAAAUGUGGUUGUAGAGCGUGCAGACAGGGUUUUAGACCAUGUAAAUGUGGUUGUAGCACGAGUAGAUGUGGUGGUAGUAUGUGUAAAUGUGGUUGUAGGACGUGCAGGAUGAGUAGAUGUGGUUUUAGGAUGUGUAGAUGGGGUUGUAGGAUGUGUAGAUGGGGUUGGAGGACGUGUAGAUGUGUAGAUGGGGUUGGAUGACGUGUAGAUGGGGUUGGAGGACGUGUAGAUGGGUUUGGAGGACGUGUAGAUGGGGUUGGAUGACGUGUAGAUGGGGUUGGAUGACGUGUAGAUGGGGUUGUAGGACGUGUAGAUGGGGUUGUAGGACGUGUAGAUGGGGUUGUAGGACGUGUAGAUGGGGUUGUAGGACGUGUAGAUGGGGUUGUAUGACGUGUAGAUGGGGUUGGAGGACGUGUAGAUGGGGUUGUAGG